Long non-coding RNA from Ailuropoda melanoleuca (giant panda), 579 nucleotides. RefSeq lists it as uncharacterized. The transcript is spliced from 2 exons. The record is from RefSeq and is a predicted model, not a curated record. NCBI's taxonomy places the organism in Eukaryota, Metazoa, Chordata, Mammalia, Carnivora, Ursidae.
CAACCCCCCAGGCACCCCUGGAAGUCUCCUCUUACUGGCUCCUGAAUCCUUCUGCCAUCACCCGGUCCUUUGAUAACAUCCUCGCUUUCCAGUGUGACACAAUGUUCUGAGCUCCAGAGGCAGAAGGACAAGGAAUCCAAACCACGUGAGGAGAAAUGAGUCCCGGGAUGGAGAAGGGACAAUGAAAAAGGACAGAUGUAGACAGAGGUCAGUCUGCAGGCAGGCAGGCAUGAGCUGGAGUUCUCAUCUACGUUCCCUUGUUCAGAAGGUAAAGUCAGUUGCUGCAAGGGAAAAGCCCGGAGGUAGCCUCUGGCGUUGUUGGAAAAUCAAGAGGAUUUAAAGGAACCUGCAGCGAACACUGCCUGGCGGGCAACAGGGUCGCUGAGCACUUGGCUCUGGAAGACACUGUCCCUGUUACAACGAGGAACAGGAUAGAUGCCAUUCUCAGGAAGCUCGCCAUCUAGUUGGUAUGAAACUACAGAGAGCUUCGAACCACAAAACCCCCAAGUCGCCCCAAAUCCUUAAACAUGCUACAAAAUUUCUAAUUACAACAACAUAAAAAGUCUUUUAGAAAAAAAA